CAGCAGCCACGGGAACACGGAGGGAGCUAGCGUUGUUCGGAAUUACUGGGCGUAAAGCGCGCGUAGGCGGUUACUCAAGUCAGAGGUGAAAGCCCGGGGCUCAACCCCGGAACUGCCUUUGAAACUAGGUGACUAGAAUCUUGGAGAGGUCAGUGGAAUUCCGAGUGUAGAGGUGAAAUUCGUAGAUAUUCGGAAGAACACCAGUGGCGAAGGCGACUGACUGGACAAGUAUUGACGCUGAGGUACGAAAGCGUGGGGAGCAAACAGGAUUAGAUACCCCUGUAGUCCCUGUCUCUUAUAA
RNAcentral lists this ribosomal RNA (301 nucleotides) under uncultured bacterium. RNAcentral describes it as "partial 16S ribosomal RNA". It matches the Rfam family "Bacterial small subunit ribosomal RNA", at positions 509 to 809 of the family's 1533-position model. The record is from RNAcentral.